GGUUAAGCGACUAAGCGUACACGGUGGAUGCCCUGGCAGUCAGAGGCGAUGAAGGGCGUGCUAAUCUGCGAUAAGCGCCGGUAAGGUGAUAUGAACCGUUAUAACCGGCGAUACCCGAAUGGGGAAACCCAGUGUGAUUCGUCACACUAUCAUUAACUGAAUCCAUAGGUUAAUGAGGCGAACCGGGGGAACUGAAACAUCUAAGUACCCCGAGGAAAAGAAAUCAACCGAGAUUCCCCCAGUAGCGGCGAGCGAACGGGGAGGAGCCCAGAGCCUGAAUCAGCAUGUGUGUUAGUGGAAGCGUCUGGAAAGGCGCGCGAUACAGGGUGACAGCCCCGUACACAAAAGCGCAUAUGCUGUGAGCUCGAUGAGUAGGGCGGGACACGUGGUAUCCUGUCUGAAUAUGGGGGGACCAUCCUCCAAGGCUAAAUACUCCUGACUGACCGAUAGUGAACCAGUACCGUGAGGGAAAGGCGAAAAGAACCCCGGCGAGGGGAGUGAAAAAGAACCUGAAACCGUGUACGUACAAGCAGUGGGAGCCCCACCACUAAGCCAGUGGUGAACUCCACAUACGCAUCCUUUGCUGAGGAGACGGUUAACGGAGCGAAAGCGACGUUCAACCUCAAAAGAAGCAGAGGGGGCUUAGUGGUGGGGUGACUGCGUACCUUUUGUAUAAUGGGUCAGCGACUUAUAUUCUGU
This 699-nucleotide ribosomal RNA is filed under the name Salmonella enterica subsp. enterica serovar Typhi. RNAcentral describes it as "partial 23S ribosomal RNA". It matches the Rfam family "Bacterial large subunit ribosomal RNA", at positions 1 to 638 of the family's 2925-position model. The record is from RNAcentral. Lineage: Bacteria; Pseudomonadati; Pseudomonadota; Gammaproteobacteria; Enterobacterales; Enterobacteriaceae.